Molecule: non-coding RNA, 106 nt
Organism: Triticum aestivum (bread wheat)
Lineage: Eukaryota; Viridiplantae; Streptophyta; Magnoliopsida; Poales; Poaceae
Source: Rfam
UUUAUACUCCCUCCGUUCGGAAUUACUUGUCACAAAAAAGGAUGUAUCUACAACUAAAAUACAUCUAGAUACAUUCAUUUCUAAUUCCGAACGGAGGGAGUACAUG